This 429-nucleotide ribosomal RNA is filed under the name Gemella morbillorum. Its description in RNAcentral is "bacterial SSU rRNA". It matches the Rfam family "Bacterial small subunit ribosomal RNA", at positions 28 to 444 of the family's 1533-position model. Lineage: Bacteria; Bacillati; Bacillota; Bacilli; Caryophanales; Gemellaceae. The record is from RNAcentral.
GACGAACGCUGGCGGCGUGCCUAAUACAUGCAAGUCGAGCGAAGUUUUUCUGGUGCUUGCACUAGAAAAACUUAGCGGCGAACGGGUGAGUAACACGUAAAGAACCUGCCUCAUAGACUGGGACAACUAUUGGAAACGAUAGCUAAUACCGGAUAACAGUAUUUCUCGCAUGAGAGAUAUUUAAAAGUUGGUUAUGCUAACACUAUGAGAUGGCUUUGCGGUGCAUUAGCUAGUUGGUGGGGUAAAGGCCCACCAAGGCGACGAUGCAUAGCCGACCUGAGAGGGUGAUCGGCCACACUGGGACUGAGACACGGCCCAGACUCCUACGGGAGGCAGCAGUAGGGAAUCUUCCGCAAUGGGCGAAAGCCUGACGGAGCAACGCCGCGUGAGUGAAGAAGGAUUUCGGUUCGUAAAGCUCUGUUGUUAGGG